RNAcentral lists this long non-coding RNA (445 nucleotides) under Apteryx rowi (Okarito brown kiwi). Its description in RNAcentral is "lncRNA (ENSARWG00000004844.1)". The record is from RNAcentral. Lineage: Eukaryota; Metazoa; Chordata; Aves; Apterygiformes; Apterygidae.
GAAGUAUUUUGGCUAUUGGAGCUAGAAUUUGCCUGCAACUAAGUGCAGCAUUAUUGCUUUUGAACUUUUCAAAAUAGCAUUGUUCCUCUUGAACAGUUAGUGCAUCUUUGCUCAACAAUUUGCGUACAUUUUAAUUACAUAGUUUUCCUCUUAUGCUGCCUAAUAGCUAUAUGAUAUGCUUUAAUUAAGGCUCAUGAUGAGAGCUUGGCUCUCCUGAAUUGUUUCCCUAUUGUCUCCUAUGAUUAAUAGACAAUUAGUCUUUUAUUUGUAGACUACUUGCCACAGUCUUUUCUUAGGGUGGUAGGGCUGAAAGCAACAGGAUCAAACAUCUCAAGCCUGCUGCUAGAUGUUGUGGUCUGACAAACUACAUGGCUUCUGUUAUCAAAACAGGUUCUACAGUCCGCAGUCAGACACCCCUGGAAAGAAGCUUUGUUGUGUGUUUCUC